Panicum virgatum (switchgrass) is the source of this 493-nucleotide long non-coding RNA. RefSeq lists it as uncharacterized. Lineage: Eukaryota; Viridiplantae; Streptophyta; Magnoliopsida; Poales; Poaceae. The transcript is spliced from 2 exons. The record is from RefSeq and is a predicted model, not a curated record.
GGUCGACAGGCCCUCCUUACAUAUGAUCAAGAUAGCUCUAGCUCCUCCUCCACUGGUCAGUAUCAGGGUCCUGGUCAGUACUACAACCCAUAUAGCACUUCUCCACCUACAGGAGGCUUUCUGUGGCCACCUCCAGGGACCAUGAACCCAUCUGUUCCGCGGUCAGUUGCAGCGCUGCCUUACUUGCAACUUCACGGCUACACACCAUAUGGAGUUCCUUAUGGUCAGGGGUACGGACAGCCUACGUACCCAUAUUUGCCAGAAACAAGUGAGCCGUAUGAGGGACCACCGGGAGAGAGAUUUAAGGACUGAAGAACGCAGAGACUAUGCAUUUGCUACAUGGAUUAUGGAUGGACAAUACUUUCGAUUACAAUGGAUGCAAUAUGUUGUAUUAAACGGACUACAGACUUAAUUGUAAUAAUUUUAGUAGACUUUGCACUUGUGACUAAGUACGGGUGAACUUUAGACAUGAAUUAUGUGUUUCGUGUUUGUA